RNAcentral lists this ribosomal RNA (373 nucleotides) under uncultured organism. RNAcentral describes it as "partial 16S ribosomal RNA". It matches the Rfam family "Bacterial small subunit ribosomal RNA", at positions 527 to 896 of the family's 1533-position model. The record is from RNAcentral.
GUAGGUGGCAAGCGUUGUCCGGAAUUAUUGGGCGUAAAGCGCGCGCAGGCGGUUCUUUAAGUCUGGUGUGAAAGCCCACGGCUCAACCGUGGAGGGUCAUUGGAAACUGGAGAACUUGAGUACAGAAGAGGAAAGCGGAAUUCCACGUGUAGCGGUGGAAUGCGUAGAGAUGUGGAGGAACACCAGUGGCGAAGGCGGCUUUCUGGUCUGUAACUGACGCUGAGGCGCGAAAGCGUGGGGAGCAAACAGGGAUUAGAUACCCUGGUAGUCCACGCCGUAAACGAUGAGUGCUAAGUGUUAGGGGGUUUCCCGCCCCUUAGUGCUGCAGCUAACGCAUUAAGCACUCCGCCUGGGGAGUACGGCCGCAAGGCUG